Molecule: ribosomal RNA, 920 nt
Filed under: Funneliformis caledonium
Lineage: Eukaryota; Fungi; Glomeromycota; Glomeromycetes; Glomerales; Glomeraceae
Description: eukaryotic LSU rRNA
Rfam family: Eukaryotic large subunit ribosomal RNA (bases 127-920)
Source: RNAcentral
UCCAUUGGGGUCCGAUUUAAAAGGGUUUUUAAGAUCAACCUUGAUUAAGAACCCGCGAUGACGUACCAUCUCAUGUAGUACGUUCGACCUGCUUGUCAGGCUCAUUCGUAUACGACAUUCAACUUUUGACCUCAAAUCAGGUAAGAAUACCCGCUGAACUUAAGCAUAUCAAUAAGCGGAGGAAAAGAAAAUAACAAUGAUUCCCUCAGUAACGGCGAGCGAAGAGGGAUAAGCUCAAAUUUUAAAUCUGUUGGGUUUCACCUAACAGAGUUGUAUUUUGAAGAAACGUUUUCUGCGUCCAGGAUUAGCCUAAAUCCUUUGGGAUAAGGUAUCAUGGAGGGUGAGAAUCCCGUUCAUGGUUAAUCUUAAGGAUGCUCUACGAUACGUUCUCCAAGAGUCGAGUUGUUUGGGAUUGCAGCUCAAAAUGGGAGGUAAAUUUCUCCUAAGGCUAAAUAUUGGCGAGAGACCGAUAGCGAACAAGUACCGUGAGGGAAAGAUGAAAAGAACUUUGAAAAGAGAGUUAAACAGUACGUGAAAUUGUUGAAAGGGAAACGAUUGAAGUCAGUCAUACCAACGGGAAAUCAACCUCUUGAGUUUGGUCUCGUGGGUUUCGAAGAGUUUAAAAGCCUUCGGAUUUUCGAGAUUGGGCUCUUCUGGUGUACUUUCUCGUACGGUUAGUCAACAUCGGUUUUGAAUGUCAUAAAAUGACUGGAGGAAUGUGGCUUCGAUCUCGUAUUGAAGUGUUAUAGCCUUUGGUAGAUGUGAUGUUCGAGACCGAGGAUUGCAACGGAUACCCUUCUGGGCUAUUCGUCUGAUCUCUGAAACGUUGCCUUGAUGUCGAAAGCUUGCUUAUGAUGUUAGGGUAUUACGGUCAAAAGGUUAGAACGGAUUAAAUUCGUUAAGGAUGUUGACGUAAUGAC